AACGAACGCUGGCGGCAGGCCUAACACAUGCAAGUCGAGCGGGGGAGCAAUCCCUAGCGGCGGACGGGUGAGUAACGCGUGGGAACGUACCCUUUGCUUCGGAAUAGCCCCGGGAAACUGGGAGUAAUACCGGAUGUGCCCUACGGGGGAAGAAUUUCGGCAAAGGAUCGGCCCGCGUUGGAUUAGGUAGUUGGUGGGGUAAUGGCCUACCAAGCCGACGAUCCAUAGCUGGUUUGAGAGGAUGAUCAGCCACACUGGGACUGAGACACGGCCCAGACUCCUACGGGAGGCAGCAGUGGGGAAUCUUAGACAAUGGGCGCAAGCCUGAUCUAGCCAUGCCGCGUGAGCGAUGAAGGCCUUAGGGUUGUAAAGCUCUUUCGUGGGGGGAAGAUAAUGAGGUACCCCAAGAAGAAGCCCCGGCUAACUCCGUGCCAGCAGCCGCGGUAAU
RNAcentral lists this ribosomal RNA (448 nucleotides) under uncultured bacterium. Its description in RNAcentral is "bacterial SSU rRNA". It matches the Rfam family "Bacterial small subunit ribosomal RNA", at positions 29 to 524 of the family's 1533-position model. The record is from RNAcentral.